This 459-nucleotide ribosomal RNA is filed under the name uncultured bacterium. RNAcentral describes it as "partial 16S ribosomal RNA". It matches the Rfam family "Bacterial small subunit ribosomal RNA", at positions 338 to 795 of the family's 1533-position model. The record is from RNAcentral.
CCUACGUUGGUCAGCAGUGAGGACUAUUGGUCCCUGGGCGCGCUCCUGCCCCAGCCAAGCACCGUGAGGGAAGACGGCCCUAUGGGUUGUAAACCUCUUUUGUCGGAGAACAAAACCCGGGACGUGUCCCGGACUGCGUGUAUCCGAAGAAAAAGCAUCGGCUAACUCCGUGCCAGCAGCCGCGGUAAUACGGAGGAUGCGAGCGUUAUCCGGAUUUAUUGGGUUUAAAGGGUGCGUAGGCGGUCCGUUAAGUCAGCGGUAAAAUUGCGGGGCUCAACCCCGUCGAGCCGUUGAAACUGGCAGACUUGAGUUGGCGAGAAGUACGCGGAAUGCGCGGUGUAGCGGUGAAAUGCAUAGAUAUCGCGCAGAACUCCGAUUGCGAAGGCAGCGUACCGGCGCCAGACUGACGCUGAGGCACGAAAGCGUGGGGAUCGAACAGGAUUAGAUACCCGAGUAGUC